Molecule: ribosomal RNA, 460 nt
Filed under: uncultured bacterium
Lineage: Bacteria
Description: partial 16S ribosomal RNA
Rfam family: Bacterial small subunit ribosomal RNA
Source: RNAcentral
CCUACGGGUGGCAGCAGUGAGGAAUAUUGGUCAAUGGCCGCGAGCCUGAACCAGCCAAGCAGCGUGAAGGAUGACUGCCCUACGGGUUGUAAACCUCUUUUAUAAAGGGAUAAAGUGAGGCACGUGUGCCUUUUUGUAUGUACUUUAUGAAUAAGGAUCGGCUAACUCCGUGCCAGCAGCCGCGGUAAUACGGAGGAUCCGAGCGUUAUCCGGAUUUAUUGGGUUUAAAGGGAGCGUAGAUGGGUUGUUAAGUCAGUUGUGAAAGUUUGCGGCUCAACCGUAAAAGUGCAAUGGAUACUGGCAGCCUUGAGUACAGUUGAGGUAGGCGGAAUUCGGGGUGUAGCGGUGAAAUGCUUAGAUAUCACGAAGAACUCCGAUUGCGAAGGCAGCUUACUAAACUGCCACUGACAUUGAUGCUCGAAAGUGUGGGUAUCAAACAGGAUUAGAUACCCCAGUAGUC